CAUCAUUCAAGGCCAUUUAUAAUUUUUCUAUCUUUUGAGCAGCUCAACCCCUGAAUCCACAAGCAAAGGACUUACGAAGUACCAACAUAUUUUUUUCAAAUAAAAUACUUUACCUUAAUGCUUAGAAGGAUUGCUAAAUUAUUUUAUUUAAAUAUAUGCUUUUGGUUGUGUAACAAGAAUUUGAACAUGAUGCCUUGCCCCUUCAUUUAGAUGACAUGCUUAAAUACUUGAAUUAGAGUUUGUUUUGCCAUGCAUCUUUGAUAUAUUUUGUAAGCAAUUAUUGAAAAGCAAUUCUGUGUACUAACACUAUCAUAGUUCAUUAUACUCUACCAUCAGUGACUUAAUAUACUUUAAAUAUUUUAAUCUUAAUCCUUACUAAUUGUUAAUUCCCUUUUUAUGCUCAUUAUGGCAUUAUUCUUCCCCCUUGUGCUUCACUUAUUGUCUAAGAAUGAUUUUGCAACCGUCUAACAUAUUCCCCUGCAUUGAAAAAUAAUUUCCAAUUUAUAGUCCUACUUUUGUAGAUACACUCUGUAAUUGAUAAGAAAUUUCUCUUUUUUACUCAUAGUUUUGCACACAUGAUAGAUUUUCCUUCUUUCAUUGUUGCAUACCAUAAAAGAAUUUCGUAAGUUUUGAGAUCAGUGUGCAUUCAAUACCUAACCUGAUGUUCUCCCAUAGUAAUAAGAGAGGGGGAGGGGUGGGUGGAAGGAGCAACAUGAAAAGUAGUAAUGACAUUUUAUUAAACGUAAACAAAUAUCCAGCUACUGCAAAAUAAAUAAAUAGAUACCCAGAAAAUGUGCCCUAAAGCCAACGAUAAUAGAAGUAAAAGCAUAUUACACAUUGCAGAACUUUAGUACCAAUGCAACUGGGCAGAUCUUCAAGUUUAAACGCAUCAAACAAGAAAUAGCACCGGAUAAUAGACAAUUACAACACAGAAGGGUAAAAUUUCAAGCAUACAAUCAAAAAUAUGAACACCCAUUUGAUAGAUUUCAUGUGUGAAAUUGUCUGUCAAAAUAUAACAUCACAAUCACAUUUUCCUCUUCACUGACAAUCUCACUGAAUCCAUGAAACAGGUAAAUGAUCUCAUCUAAGCAAUUAGCUGUCAUAUAAAAGAACGGAAAGUAUAAUAUCUAUGAUGAUUCACAUCACAUCAACGUCCGUGUAAACCCAACUAAUCAUCUGCAUUGCUUUUCACUUUUUGCAUUAACGUAAUGAAAUCAAGCUACAGUCAAAUGGCUGAGAGAACUUACGUAGCGAUGGGAUAUUAGAAUUUGAAUCACUAGUGGAGCCAAAAGGAUGUUCAAGGAAUCAACGACAAAACCGUGUUUCCGCUUCUCUAAUUUUUUUUCUUUUGGCGUUUGUUGUUUGGCUCGUGAGAAA
RNAcentral lists this unclassified non-coding RNA (1377 nucleotides) under Hevea brasiliensis (rubber tree). The record is from RNAcentral. Lineage: Eukaryota; Viridiplantae; Streptophyta; Magnoliopsida; Malpighiales; Euphorbiaceae.